Streptomyces hygroscopicus is the source of this 75-nucleotide non-coding RNA. The record is from Rfam. Lineage: Bacteria; Bacillati; Actinomycetota; Actinomycetes; Kitasatosporales; Streptomycetaceae.
CUUCACCGUGCCGAGCAGCAGCGGACGCCCCGAGUCCCGAUCCUGCCCAUAGGUGGCCAGGAGCGCCUGCGCCUC